CGGCGCACAUAAGACAUGCAAGUCGAACGGAAGUCGUUAUAAUGAUUUCGAAACGAACAGAGAACUUGUUCAAAGGGAGUGGACAUUGAUUUAUAACAAUGGCUUUAGUGGCGGACUGGUGAGUAACACGUAAGCAACCUGCCUAUUAGAGGGGAAUAACAGUGAGAAAUCAUUGCUAAUACCGCAUAUGCCAACAGUAUUGCAUGAUACAGUUGGGAAAGGAGCAAUCCGCUAAUAGAUGGGCUUGCGUCUGAUUAGCUAGUUGGUGGGGCAACGGCCUACCAAGGCGACGAUCAGUAGCCGGACUGAGAGGUUGAACGGCCACAUUGGGACUGAGAUACGGCCCAGACUCCUACGGGAGGCAGCAGUCGGGAAUAUUGCGCAAUGGAGGAAACUCUGACGCAGUGACGCCGCGUAUAGGAAGAAGGUUUUCGGAUUGUAAACUAUUGUCGUUAGGGAAGAAAAAAGACAGUACCUAAGGAGGAAGCUCCGGCUAACUACGUGCCAGCAGCCGCGGUAAUACGUAGGGAGCAAGCGUUAUCCGGAUUUAUUGGGUGUAA
Molecule: ribosomal RNA, 560 nt
Filed under: uncultured bacterium
Lineage: Bacteria
Description: bacterial SSU rRNA
Rfam family: Bacterial small subunit ribosomal RNA
Source: RNAcentral